This is a long non-coding RNA of Oncorhynchus tshawytscha (Chinook salmon), 1573 nucleotides long. NCBI's taxonomy places the organism in Eukaryota, Metazoa, Chordata, Actinopteri, Salmoniformes, Salmonidae. The record is from Ensembl.
GUAGCAGUGUAGCUAACUACUGGAACUACACUAGUUAUUUUGCUAAAAGGACCAUGCCUCAGGACUACCUGGCCUGAUGACUCCAGUCCACCUGGUCGUGCUGCUGCUCCAGUUUCAACUGUUCUGCCUGCGGCUAUGGAACCCCGACCUGUUCACCAGACGUGCUACCUUGUCCCGAACAUGCUGUUUUCGACUCUCUCUACCGCACCUGCUGUCUCUAACUCUGAAUGAUUGGCUAUGAAAAGCCAACUGACAUUUACUCCUGAGGUGCUGACCUGCUGCACCCUCUACAACCACUGUGAUUAUUAUUAUUUGACCCUGCUGGUCAUCUAUGAACGUUUGAACAUCUUGGCCGUGUACUGUUAUAAUCUCCACCCAGCACAGCCAGAAGAUUACUGGCCACCCCUCAGAGCCUGGUUCCUCUCUAGGUUUCUUCCUAGGUUCCUGCCUUUCUAGGCAGUUUUCCCUAGUCACUGUGCUUCUACAUCUGCAUUGCUUGUGGUUUGGUGUUUUAAACUGGGUUUCUAUAUAGCACUUUGUGACAUCGGCUGAUAUAAAAAGGGCUUUAUAAAUACAUUUGAUAGAUAGCUUGGUAAACUAUACUGAACAAAAAUAUAAACGCAACAUGCAACAAUUUAAUUGAUAUUACUGAGUUCAUGUGAAGAAAUCAGUCAAUUGAAAUAAAUAAAUACAUUAGGAUUAGGCCCUAAUCUCUGGAUUUCACAGAUAGCAGAUGUUCUGAAAGAGCUGCAAAACCUGGACCUGUACAAAUCAGCUGGGCUUGACAAUCUGGACCCUCUAUUUCUGAAACUAUUCGCCGCCAUUGUCGCAACCCCUAUUACCAGCCUGUUCAACCUCUCUUUCAUAUCGUCUUGAGAUCCCCAAGGAUUGGAAAGCUGCUGCAGUCAUCCCCCUCUUCAAAGGGGGAGACCCCCUGGACACAAACUGUUACAGACCUAUAUCCAUCCUGCCUAUCUAAGGUCUUCGAAAGCCAAGUCAACAAACAGGUCACUGACCAUCUCGAAUCCCACCGUACCUUCUCCGCUGUGCAAUCUGUUUUCCGAGACGGUCACGGGUACACCUCAGCCAUGCUCAAGGUACUAAACGACAUCAUAACCGCCAUCGAUAAAAGACAGUACUGUGCAGCCGUCUUCAUCGACCUUGCCAAGGCUUUCGACUCUGUCAAUCACCAUAUUCUUAUCGGCAGACUCAGUAGCUUCGGUUUUUCUGAUCACUGCCUUGCCUAGUUCACCAACUACUUUGCAGACAGAGUUCAGUGUGUCAAAUUGGAGGGCAUGCUGUCCGGUCCUCUGGCAGUCUCUAUGGGGGUGCCACAGGGUUCAAUUCUCGGGCCCACUCUUUUCUCUGUAUAUAUCAAUGAUGUUGCUCUUGCUGCGGGUGAUUCCCUGAUCCACCUCUAUGCAGACGACACCAUUCUGUAUACUUCCGGCCCGUUCUUGGACACUGUGCUAUCUUACCUCCAAACGAGCUUCAAUGACAUACAACACUCCUUCCGUGGCCUCCAACUGCUCUUAAACGCUAGUAAAACCAAAUGCAUGCUUUUCAACCGUUC